GGGUGUGGGGGGUGCAAAGGCACUUCUUUAAUUGUCCGGGCCCCUAAUGACAUGCAGAGAUGGCUCAAAGGCAGCGGACAUCAAAGCGCAAGGGGAUGGCACGUCGGGCAGGACAGGACAGCCGCUCUGCCCCGCUUGCCAAAAGGACAUCUCCUGCCCCAAACCGCCCCGAUGGUUUCUGCUGCCGAGCGGUGCGGCCAGGCGGCCCCGGCAGGAUUGUAUGCAAAAGCGGUCGGUGGGGAUCCUAAAAAAAACCGGACAGCUCAGGGUGAGAUGAGUCUAAUUAUUGCUGGUUCUAAAAAGAGCUGGAACACCCAAGUAGGGCUUAACUCGUCUCCUGGGAAACUGAUGGAGACCUAUUUUACAAGCUGUAAUUCUGCUUUAGACUAUUGCAGGCUAAAGGCAGUUGACACUAUCCUCUUUCUUCUAGAAAUAGUCCUAAUCCUGUAUUUCGGCCGGGGAAAGUCCGCUUCUGCUCCACACUAGAUUAAUCCAGAAACCACAUAAAACCAGCAGGCGACAAGAAAGCCCUCGACGUGCCAUUUACCUUAUGGAUUUCUGCAGCCGGAGCCUUGCUGCUGCCAGCAAUCUGCCUGCACGGUCAGUGCAAGAACAGCUGGGACAGGACUGAGUUCUGUUUUUCACUCUUGCAAGCAACACAAAGAUUGAAGCUCUCCUUUGCCUGGCUGGAAAGCAGACAGCUACUCCAGUGCCCAGCAGUGAUUCCCCUUCCCACCCCAAUGCCCAGCAGGGGUUUCCUUUCCCACCCCAUCACCGACAGCACCAACACUGAAGGAGGCUGAGGACCCUGAGAUGCUUUGCAAGCCUCCUGCACGGCAGGGAAGCAGCCUGUGGUGUGUGAGCACUUGCACUCACCUUCACCGCCCUUUCUUGAUUUUAAUAACAGCACAGGGGAUCGGUGUCAAGGACAGAUGGGGCCAACCUCUGAGCCGUGCUGAGCGCUGCUGCCGUGUGUGCGUCCCCUAUGAAACCCCAGAUCCCCAUCUCUGAUUGCCUCUUUGUGUCUGUACUUGUGUGCAAUACCUGCGUUACGCUUCAGUAGACUCGGCAACGGGCAGAAGUGCUAUCUCUGCCUCGAGGAUAUUUGAGAAGAUGCUUCCCCGGGAUGGAUCCUUUUAGGAAAAAAAAAUAAAUUGUUAAAACGCUUCGGGAAAGCUGAAGAAUGAAUGAAUUUGUGGAGCUUUCUGAGGGAUGCACAUCGGUGCCAUCCUAAAGAUGUAGCACUCAUCCCACCCUGCAGGACCCUGGCAAUUGCUAUCCAGCACUGAGCCAUGCUACAGUGUUCUGGUUCUCCAACGCAUCCCUCACUUUGCUGCUGCUCUGCACUGCUGCAAAAUUACAGGCUGCAGACGGGGGUCUGAAAGCAGCAGCUCAGCUUCAGGGAGGCAGUGGGACGGGGCAGAAGGUGAGGCUGAUAUUGCAAGAGGUUGCCAGGACUUUCUGUUCCCUCCGGGUCCAAUCCGAGGCGUCGUUAGCAAACUAAUAAACUGGCUGCAGAUGUUGAGCCAACAGCAGGGCACGUUCCUCAGGAGCAUCCCUGAAAACUCUUGGGUUUGGGAAGUGAUCAGCUCAUCCCCGUGUUUCUCUUUGUGCCCUUUGCCACUCUCUGCGCCACUCCUUCCCUCCUGCCUGGAAUUUUAGGGGAAAAGAAAAAAAAGUAGAAACAGGAAACAAAGCAGGAGAGCUUCCUCAAAUCAUUUUUUUCACGUUUAUUUAUUUUCUUGACAUUGCAGUGGAUGGAGCUCUGUGACCCUACUGUUUCUCUUAGAAAAUAGAAGUAUUUGUGCCAGCUGCAGCUCUGCCAGCACAGGGGACACAACACCAAUGCCAUACCCAUACCCCACUGACCCCAUCAGGUCCCACAAGGCUGAAUGGUGUGGGUAUGGCCACGGCGAUGCUGUAGGAGGCAGGUGCUGCCUUGCAUGGGGCCGGAUCCAGGUCCUUGGGGGCAGGAAUACAGCAGAGCUGGAGUUUCAUCAGGAAUAGGAGUCUGCCAUGCCCGAGUGGGGCUGUGCCUGCUAAAGUGCCUCUUAACCUUUCCUAUAUCCAGCUAGGGAGGGAAAAAACACACAAGGGGAUCCUGGCUGUUCCCUUAGCCCCGAAGGGAGAAAAGAGAAGGAUCCCCGAGCCUGGUGCUCUACCCCCAAAGCCCAUCUCCAGGCAGAGGGAGAGGGUGCUCUCUUCUUUCUGCCUCUAGCUCUGCUUUUUGUGCUGCCCCAGGUACCGGCCCCAGCGCAUCCCCUGCCGCAGCAGCGCUCCUCCUGCACGGAGCAGCACAUUUCCCCCGAGUUACUUAUUAACCACCGUUCGUUUGACAGGAUCGAUAUUUCAAGCUAGGGAGUAAACACUUAAGAAGUAAUGCUCCUCUCUGCUCUCUUUUUCCUCGGCAAAAUGAUUUAUUUUAUAAAAUGCAUCUGCCUGGCAGGGAGGCUGGAGCCCCGCGGCGUUCAUCCGCGGGAUAUGCAAAGCGCAUUUAUUUCCUCUUUUAUCUCUCAUAUUGCGCGUUGAUCCCAUACAUAUAGAUUGAUUUUGUUCAGGUAGAUAAUGAAAAGUCAAGUGGAAAAUUUACACAAAGGCACUCAGGAUCUCCACUUUCUAUUGGUAUAUAAAUUGGUUUAUUACUUCAUUCCCUUAAACAGCGACUUUCACGCUGGGGAACACUUUAAAAUAUAUCAUGUUUAAACACAGGGCCGUUUACCUUCCGUGUGGUUUCUCUUUUUCCAUCGGUAAUUUCCUCGCCACUUUUGCUAAUUACCGAAGAUAUUUGUGUUUAAACAAGGGCCCCACCAGCAGCAAUCCGUCUCCCUCCUCCUCCUGCUCCCAGCAUCAAGCCGCCCCAACCAGAGCUCCCGGCUCUGGGCACAGGGAUGGUGACAAAGCCUGGCAGCGGGCUCUAAUUCCCCAUAAGCGGCUUUGGCUUUGCCACCCCAAGGCAGUGAAUGGAGGGCACUGGACAGGAGAGAGCAGCUCGGAACAAAACAGGCAGGAAACGUUAUUAAUAAACAUCUUCUGGACAUUUGGUGGCUCAUCUAGGCUGCUCCAGCUUAAAGCAAUUAAUUCAGGAUACUGACAUAAACUCUCCAGCUCUUUGACAGCUUGGAGCUGAAAUAAAAAUGCUAGUUCUCCAGGGAAAAGGAGAGGAUAGUUGGCUCUUUUCUGGACUGUUUGCUUAUAGGCCCAGAGAGCAAUCUUCCUUGCAGAAUGAAAUGCAAGGACACAAACAAUGUACCGGAGAGAGAAUAGAAGAUGGGAAUGAACAGUUUGAACUAUUUGCUCAGCAGAAGGGCAGCCACAAUGCUCAACCAAUGGCUUUCCCAUGCAUCAACCGGGCUUCUUAGGCCCUUUUGUUGUUCAUCCUCUUCCUCUGACCAGAUAAGAGCACAGCUGCACGGCCGUCGACUUAGCCACGCAAAUCUGGUGCCGCGCGGAGCCGCGUCCCCGCGGAGCUCGAGGACAAGGUGACACCGGGCAGUGGCACAUCCAGCAGCCCCCGCAUUCAGUGCCACCUCCCCGCAACCGGGCUGCAGUCCCCUGCCCUUCCUUUGCUCCCUUCCUGCCUCCUUUGCCCGUUGCCCAGGCACUGCUAUGCUGCUCCGACCCAAACGCCAGCUCCAACCGUGAUGCUACGCCGCUUUGUGCCGCCCCGGGCUGGGAUUCAGUGAGCAAGGCUGGAACAAGGUUUGUUUAGCUUGAAAGGGUUUGACAAGGUGAAAAGGCAAAGCACCGAGGACUAAAGAAAACGCCUGCCUGGCUGAAAUCACACGGAGCACUCGUCGUCAAAGAGCACACCUGCAGGAAGCACCGAGUUUAAACACUGCUGUCACAAAAACCUGAGAAACCUCCGGGUAUUUUAUUGUGUUUUUUGUUGUUUUUUUUUUGUCUCUUUUCCCCCUUCUCCCCUACUGGGUGGUCAGGAGAGCAGGAGGGCUCCCAUUGUCUGCAGAGCUGACCCCACGUGUCCCUGCCGUGCCAGCACCUGGCCGACACCAAAACGCCCCAAUCCAGCCUCAGUCUGCAGCCCAGCGCCCUGCAUCGGGCUGCUUAAUGAGACCCUAACGAGGUGCUCAGCCUUAAUUUCCAAAACGCUGCAACACAGACAAAGGGAAAGUGCAGUCAGCUCCGAGUAAUUUGUGCCUCGCUCCCGGCGAAUGAAUUUAGGGGAGCAAAUAUCGUUAUGCGGGAUUUAAAUUAAAGUUGACACUAAUGUAAA
Tympanuchus pallidicinctus (lesser prairie-chicken) is the source of this 4231-nucleotide long non-coding RNA. RefSeq lists it as uncharacterized. NCBI's taxonomy places the organism in Eukaryota, Metazoa, Chordata, Aves, Galliformes, Phasianidae. The record is from RefSeq and is a predicted model, not a curated record. The transcript is spliced from 2 exons.